RNAcentral lists this non-coding RNA (786 nucleotides) under Pongo abelii (Sumatran orangutan). The record is from RNAcentral. Lineage: Eukaryota; Metazoa; Chordata; Mammalia; Primates; Hominidae.
UAUUCCACAUACGGUUAAAACGAGGCCGGCAGAAGUGUGCUUCAUUUCCGAACUUGACCCCUUAACCUGCACCUCAAGCUCAUUUUUAUUGCUACCCACUGAGCCCUGCUCUCCACGCACCGGUUGCACCAGCCCUGCCGACCCGUACGUUCGCGGUCUCCGCUGGGAUGGCUGGAAAGGAAGCGAGAAAGUCACGGAAGAACUUACCUGAAACGAUCCCAUUCGACAGGAACCCCAGCUGGUAAAGGAGGCAGCAGCAGCAGAUGAGUUUCCGAGGCCGAGCAGGCUAGUGCUGGAGCCCCACAAGACAGACCCACAGCCAGCCGAGAGCCGGGAGUGCUGCCUCUGGACAGGCAGAGGACUGCCUGGCGCGGGCAGGAGAGCUGUGGUGUCCGAGCCGAGGCUCGCCGCCUGCACCCGCGCGGAACGGGCGGAGGCUGGUGUCACAGUCUCAGCAACUUGGUGUGCCAAGCUCCGCACACUCCUCACGCUCCUUGGGACGCAACGCUGAAGGCUUUCACCCGCAGCGGCGCGGGAGGGAAUGAGUAGGGAGAUGGGACGACACGACUAGAGAGGUGGGUUGUAGAGCAGAAAAGAAUCAAGCACAUCUGACCAGAAAAAGGGACCAAGGGGUGCCCGCCAAGCGUGACUUUGCGGGACAAAGGUCCCAGAACACCGUGCACGUGCUCAAACGCCGGUUGGGAUGGGGUGGGGACCCAAAAUCCCUCACCUGACUAUUGAUUGGCCACUCGGGAAGGCCUGAUUUGCAUCCAUCCCCUGCCCCCG